Molecule: ribosomal RNA, 3015 nt
Filed under: Triticum aestivum (bread wheat)
Lineage: Eukaryota; Viridiplantae; Streptophyta; Magnoliopsida; Poales; Poaceae
Description: partial small subunit ribosomal RNA
Source: RNAcentral
AUGCGGUCCGAAUAUGUUGAUGGCACUGAACCUGUCACACAAGUUGAGGAUGUGCCCUUGCAGCUUCUUGUAGAAGAUGAACAGAAGAGGAAAACACUAGCAAAAUAUGAGAGGAAGAAGGCGACCCAUCUACAAAAAGUUGUUGAUUUUGCUGAGCCCGCAGUUGGGCAUGUGUCCGGUGUUGAUGAAAAUGUUACGCGUGACAGUGAUACCAUGGUUGCUCCUGUGACGAAGAAAUUCAAGCGAACCAUAUCAAAGAAGCAUCUUGUUGGUGAAGUUACUCCUUGGAGGAGCCCAUGCGUUUCAAAUGUUGUAGGUCCAACUAUAGGUGAACUUCCUAAAGUUGAUGUCCAAGCUCCAAGUGGUACCCCACGCCGUAGUUCACGGGUUCUUGCUUAUGUGAAGCCACAUCGUCUCCGAUUGGUGGUGCUAGUUCUGGGAAGGGAAAGAAGUGUGGCAAUAAGUGCGAGGGGUGAUGAGGAUUUUGACGCUAAUGACGAGGAUGGUGAUGAUGAUGUUGCUGAUCAGUACGAGCUUGUGAAGAGACCUGUGAGGAAGAAUAGAGGAGGAAAAGUAGUGGAAGGAGCUGAUGAAGGAGGCGACGAUGCAAAACAUUUUAACAAGACGGUUCACUGCUCACUAAAAGAGGUCAAUGCGUGCGCAAAGUUGCUGCAGCAUAGGCACAAGGAGAUGGUUAUCAAGUCUAGUUUUGGUUGUGUCUUUGAUUUGAAGGUGUUUUACCUGGUUCUUUUCAUGAAGGUUGUUAUUCUUGGUACGUCUAUACGGGUUUCCAGGGAUGCGGCAAUGGCUGAUAAUCUUGUCUCUGAAGAUAUGGCAAAUAUGGACUAUUAUUGCCUUAUCAUUGGCAAGAAGCCUAAUGCUAACUUGAGAACUCUUCGCAUCAAUUUCAUGGAUCAAGCCAAGCUAACUGAGCUUGUUGUUGCUGACUUGGUUAAGAAGUGGAAGACACAAGCUAAGUUUGUGUUCUUUACGCAUAUCGAACGUGCUGCUCUUACUAUGCCUUGUGCCACCGGUAUCGGGAUUGAAGCUGCCCCAAGAAUUGAAUGCUCCAAGGAUGUCAACACUGGUGCUCCCCCUAUAGAUCCUGGAGGUUCUUCUGCCCAUGUGAAUGCUGAAGCUGGCAUUUCUUCAGAGUCUGCUAAGUGUUUCUUUGAUGCUGCCACUAUUUCCCUUGGUAGGAUAUAUGGUCUUUUGAGCAUAGUUUGUGGGGAGGUUGUCCGUGUUACGACGACGGUUCAAUGUCUUAGUUGUGUUGAUGGGAUUCUUCCACCUGGUCAUUGUUUUGAUGCGGAGUCUUCGAAGGAUGCUUUGUCAAUUGAAGAUGAAAUUCUUGCUGAGAUUCGUCAGAGCACGUUCCACCGCAGUACCAUCUUUGGAUUGUUCAAGAAAAUUGUUUGUUAUUUGACCCUAUGCUUAAUGUCUUUGGACUUCCUUCAUGUGGUUACUUUUCCUAACAUACUUUACCUAGGGGCUCCCAGUAGUGCGGAGUGCAAGAAGAUAAUAGAUCUUAUUAGGAUGAUGCAAUUAUGCUAUUGGAGGAAGGGCCCGACAGGGCCCUCCCGAACUUCCCGAACUCAGGGACCAGGUACCAAGAUUUGCGGCAACCCCAACCCUGAUCCCGAUCCCCGCCUCCCCUACUCUUCUCAUCCCCUCGAGCACCGGCCGGCCGUCGCCUCCACUGCGAUUCGCCGCUGUCGACCGCCGAUCUCCCCUCCCAUCCCUUCUACCACCGUCCCUAUUGUUGGUACCCUCCCUUCUACCUCCCGUCCGACCACUAGUGCGAGUCAGCGAGUGAUGGUGGACGAUGGUGCAAGGGAGCCCGCGACGGAUGGAGGCGGCGAAGCCGCCGGAGCGGGCACCAUGGAUAGUUGGAGGCCUCCUCCUUCCCUCCCGAUCUCCUACCCGCAGCUCAGCAACGAUGGCGAAGCAUGGUGCCACAUGUACCUGAACUGCUUGUUGCAAGCAUAUGAACUUCGCGCCAUCUACAAGCCAUGGAAUGCCAUGGGAUUCAUCUCUAAACUCUCCGGCGCAUUGCUCUCAAGGUGGCCUAUCUACUUCUGGAAAAGGGUGGCCGAACUUCUAGCCAAUGAUGAGAGACGCAGAAAGAAGGUUAGAAUUUCCCAGCAACAAGUAUACAACCAUAAGCAUGUACGCGUUGCACUGCCCCCUGAAUGGGUCACACCUCAAACACACCCUCAACAUUCCCAAUCUGCUCCACACCAAAAUUGGGUGACACUCGAAAACCUAGCAAACUUCCAAGAUGCUGGGUCACACCCUGAUCCGCAUCAUUUUGCACCUCCACCUAAUUGGGUGACGCUGGAAAUCCCCCGUGGAUUCUUUGUAUCCAUCAGCAAACUUUCAAGCACACCGAUGGAGGAUGGUGUUAGCUCAGGUUCUGCGUAUAACUCUGGAGGUUAUCCUGGUGUGUCUCAUCAAUGUGAAAGAGCAGCAAGUCAACCAGAUGCCAGGACUAUUCCAAUAGUAACAAACUUACGGAGGAAAGUUCUCUGCACACUACCACCGACAGAUGUUGAUGCUGCUGCUACAACUCAUGAUCAUACGAGGAUAGGCUGCAAUGCAAGAAUGAGGGUGAAGGUGCAAGAGGAUAACACUUGUGUGGUGGUGGACAUCGAAUACAAUCAUCAUCACUACCUCAUCCAUACUGCUGACCUGCUAUCGAGGAUAUUUGAUGUUGCCCUGGUCAGAGACGAAGAUGCAAAAUCAUUCAAGUGCCUCUUCGAUACAUUUGUACGGUGCAUGAACGACAAACACCCAACUUGCAUUCUCACAGGAAUCAUAGAAGUUCAAUACACUACAAAAAAUCAAGUGAUAAAAACAUAUCACGGCUAUGAGGAAGACAUGGCUAUCAAGGCCUUCUAUGUUCUCAAGAGGAUCAUAGAAGAACUUGACGCCAUACAUUCAGCAAAUCAAAGAGAUGUUGAUGAAAGAAAGGAUGAAGAGGAUGCUGAAAUUGAAGAUGAUCUUGCUUAUUAG